RNAcentral lists this microRNA precursor (66 nucleotides) under Mytilus edulis (blue mussel). RNAcentral describes it as "mir-2 microRNA precursor family". It matches the Rfam family "mir-2 microRNA precursor family". From Rfam's summary of the family: The miRNAs are transcribed as ~70nt precursors (modelled here) and subsequently processed by the Dicer enzyme to give a ~22nt product. Lineage: Eukaryota; Metazoa; Mollusca; Bivalvia; Mytilida; Mytilidae. The record is from Rfam by way of RNAcentral. RNAcentral also lists the same sequence under 1 other name.
CAAGACGUCAAAGUUGUUGUGAUGUGUUCCAAACUAUCAUAUCACAGCCAGCUUUGAUGAGCUUGA